This 253-nucleotide ribosomal RNA is filed under the name uncultured bacterium. RNAcentral's name for it is "partial 16S ribosomal RNA". It matches the Rfam family "Bacterial small subunit ribosomal RNA", at positions 524 to 776 of the family's 1533-position model. The record is from RNAcentral.
UACGUAGGGGGCGAGCGUUGUCCGGAAUUAUUGGGCGUAAAGAGCGUGUAGGCGGUUCGGUAAGUCUGCCGUGAAAACCUGGGGCUCAACCCCGGGCGUGCGGUGGAUACUGCCGGGCUAGAGGGUGGUAGAGGCGAGUGGAAUUCCUGGUGUAGCGGUGGAAUGCGCAGAUAUCAGGAGGAACACCAACGGCGAAGGCAGCUCGCUGGGACGGUACUGACACUGAGGCGCGAAAGCGUGGGGAGCGAACAGG